AUGGGAAAGGAGGCAGGAUCGAUGCUAUCAUGUGAGUUCCACCAGGCCUUCCACGCACCCAUCUCCAGUUCCUGGAAUGAAUUAAAAAUGGAGGAAAGCUGGAACCCAGAAGACAAGCGCUUUCCUGCUGCCAUCACAUUGCGAUUUCCCUCCAAGAACCCUCUACUAACAAAGUUACCAUUACCCCAGCUGACAAAGCACAACUAUUAUGGAGGGAGGCUAAGGUAAGAAGAUCCCACGAACCCAGGAGUUUCAGGUUACAAUUAGCUACAACCGUGCCUAAUGACACUGCCCUCCAGAGUGGGUAUGAGGAAGACCCUGUCUCAAAAACAAAAACAUAGGCAAUUAAAUUACAGGCAUUUAAAAGUUAUAAAUACAAAGUUAACCACUCAAAAUAUGCAACUUCCUAAAUAACACCUCAUUAAAGAAAAAGAUACAUGUCACAAAGAAACGUAACAAAUAAAAAAUAAUAUACAUAAUUAUAAAACAUCAUAAGAGAGCAGAGACCAAUGUAGUCACACCAAAUAGUAAGUCCUCACUUAAUGCCAUCAAUAGGUUCUUGGAAACGGCAACUUCAAGCAGAACCACUAUGGUAUAAAGAAACAAUUUUACCAUAGGCUAAGGGAUAGGAGCAAGAGUUAAGUUCCUACAACAUACAGUAAUUCAUUUCGCUUAAAACUGCAUUUCCGAGAAUCUAUCCAGGACAUUAACUGAAGACUUACUGUAAAGAAGCUUAACUCACCUAAUUAGGAAGUAGAUUUUAAAUGUGGUUCACAAAGCGAGACCCAGCUCUAUUCUAUACACUGGAAACAUGCCUAAAGCUAAAUAAUUCAGAAUGACUAAAAUUAAAGAGACAAAGGUAUAGCAUACAAAGCAUAAUUCAAGCCAAAGUUGAUUAAGAAAAGCACUUUUAUUAGUUUUUUUUCCAUGCCCAGCCCAAGAAGAACACUUUAGAGGCACAAUUGACUAUAAAAUUAUAACAUCUAUAAAUACCUAUGCACCAAUAACAUAAAAACAACUGAAGCUGUAAGAAGAAAGGCACUAACAAUAACAGACCUAUACAUUCUCCAUGAAAGAGAAAUCAAGCAAAUAAAGUAGAAAGAAGAUUUAACCAGAGUCAAAACAAGCAAACAAAAACAGAUCUUAUGUAUCUAGACUGACUGUUACUACCUAAUAAUACAGAAGAGAACACACCUUCUUCUCAAGCACCCACUGAACAUUCACAAAAUGGUAAAUGACAAAGAAAGUACAUCGGGAAGCUCUUUAAAGCAGAAAAGUAAUAAAUUAACCUUAGCUUACUAUCACCUUUUUACUUGAUAAACUUUUUCCUUUUAACAUUUUGACUCUUAUAAUAACCAUUACCUUAAAACACAAAUAAAAUCGCCUGCACAAAAAUGCUUUUUCAUUACAUCUUUAUUCCAUAACCUUUAUUAAUUUAAAACAAAUUUUUAAUUUAUCUUCUGGACUGUUUUGUUAAGAAUGAAGACACAAACACGAAAAUUAACCUAGGUUUGCCCAGGGUCAGAAUCAUCACUGACCCUGUCUCCCACUCGAAGGCCUUCGGGGCAAUAACCCGCCUGGAGCUCUGAUCCCCUGUGACAACAAUGACUUCCUCUGGAAUCCCUCCUGAAGUACUCGCUGAGGCUGUUUGACAGUUAACUUUUUUUAAUCAGUAGAAACAGUUCACUCUAAAAUAAUAAUAGAAGUUUAGCCUGUUAAGUGUAUAAACCAGUGAAAUAGUCAUGUGUUAUCCUCAAGUAUUAUGUGCAUACACAAUUAUAUGUGCUAUACUUUUAUACAGCUGUGCUACACAGUGGGUUUCUUUACACCAGCAUCACCAGAAACAUUCAAGUAAUGUGUUGUGUUACAACAUUACAAUUGCUACGAUAGAGCCAGGCGAUAAAACUUUUUCAGCUCCAUUAUAAUCUUACGAAACCACCAUCACAUAUGCAGUCCACCACAAUGGAGAUAAAAAGCUUAAACAGACCAAUUUCUAAAUGUCUUAAUUUUUAUAAAGCAAGUAUAACCUGAUGCCCAAAGUACAUAGAGAGUUCAAAAAUAUGUAACUACAGACAAAUAUCACAAAUGGACCUGAGCAAGAAAAUGUUAUUGAGUAUUUUUUCCAAGAAUUCAAUACAACAAUUUUUUUAAAACAUACCAUAUAAAAUACUCCACGAACACAAGGUAAAUUCAGUAUCAGAAAAUCUACUAACUGUAUAUAUGAUAUUAACAGAUCUAAGAGGAAAAAUAAUCAUUCCAUCAAUCUUCUGAAAUGCUUUCAACAAAACUCUCCACCCACACCUGAUAAAACUCUAAGAGGAAGCCCUAAUCAGAGCAAUUAGGCAACAGUGAGAAAUAAAGGGAAACCAAAUUGGAAAGGAGGAAGUCAAACUGUCCAUGUUUGCAGAUGACAUGAUCUUUUAUUUAGAACUAUCUGAAGACCCCACCAAGAAACUGUUAGAACUGAUAAAAGAAUUAAGCGAAGUUGCAGGAGACAAAAUCAACAUAUAAAAAUCGGUGCCUAUCUAUAAGUCAAUUGAAAACAAUCUAAUAAAAAAAUCAAUAAAGCAAUAACAUUUAUAAUAGCUACAAAAAUAUAAAAUACCUAGGAAUAAACUUAACCAAAGAGGUGAAAGAUCUCUACAAUGAAAACUAUAAAACUCUGAUAAAAGUUGAAGAGAACACACACACACACGAAAGAUGCUGCAUGCUCAUGGAUUGGAAAAAUUAAUAUUG
Callithrix jacchus (white-tufted-ear marmoset) is the source of this 2736-nucleotide long non-coding RNA. NCBI's taxonomy places the organism in Eukaryota, Metazoa, Chordata, Mammalia, Primates, Cebidae. The record is from Ensembl.